CAGUCGCCGCGGUAAUACGAAGGGUGCAAGCGUUACUCGGAAUUACUGGGCGUAAAGCGUGCGUAGGUGGUGGUUUAAGUCCGUUGUGAAAGCCCUGGGCUCAACCUGGGAAUUGCAGUGGAUACUGGGUCACUAGAGUGUGGUAGAGGAUAGUGGAAUUUCCGGUGUAGCAGUGAAAUGCGUAGAGAUCGGAAGGAACAUCUGUGGCGAAGGCGACUAUCUGGGCCAACACUGACACUGAGGCACGAAAGCGUGGGGAGCAAACAGGAUUAGAUACCCAGUAGUCCCUGUCUCUUAUACA
This 301-nucleotide ribosomal RNA is filed under the name uncultured bacterium. Its description in RNAcentral is "partial 16S ribosomal RNA". It matches the Rfam family "Bacterial small subunit ribosomal RNA", at positions 509 to 808 of the family's 1533-position model. The record is from RNAcentral.